AGCAGCCGCGGUAAUUCCAGCUCCAAUAGCGUAUAUUAAAGUUGCUGCAGUUAAAAGCUCGUAGUUGAAUUUCGGGACCAUCAUGUUGGUCGUGCCUCGGUACGUACUGGUAUUGUUGGUUUCUCCCUUCUGACGAACCAUGAUGUCAUUUAUUUGGUGUUGUGGGGAAUCAGGACUGUUACUUUGAAAAAUUAGAGUGUUUAAAGCAGGCUCACGCUUGAAUACAUUAGCAUGGAAUAAUGAAAUAGGACGUUUGAUUCUAUUUUGUUGGUUUCUAGGAUCGACGUAAUGAUUAAUAGGGAUAGUUGGGGGCAUUAGUAUUCAAUUGUCAGAGGUGAAAUUCUUGGAUUUAUUGAAGACUA
This 362-nucleotide ribosomal RNA is filed under the name uncultured Glomeromycotina. RNAcentral's name for it is "SSU rRNA". It matches the Rfam family "Eukaryotic small subunit ribosomal RNA", at positions 569 to 938 of the family's 1831-position model. The record is from RNAcentral. Lineage: Eukaryota; Fungi; Glomeromycota.